This 463-nucleotide ribosomal RNA is filed under the name uncultured bacterium. RNAcentral's name for it is "partial 16S ribosomal RNA". It matches the Rfam family "Bacterial small subunit ribosomal RNA", at positions 29 to 507 of the family's 1533-position model. The record is from RNAcentral.
ACGAACGCUGGCGGCGUGCUUCACACCUGCAAGUCGCACGCUGAACCCGCUUCGGUGGGGAUGAGUGGCGAACGGGUGAGUAACACGUGGGCAACCUGCCCCCGGCUCUGGGAUAACUCCAAGAAAUUGGGGCUAAUACCGGAUGUGACCGCUGGCCGCAUGGUCUGGUGGUGGAAAGGGUUUCCGGCUGGGGAUGGGCCCGCGGCCUAUCAGCUUGUUGGUGGGGUAGUGGCCUACCAAGGCGACGACGGGUAGCCGGCCUGAGAGGGUGACCGGCCACACUGGGACUGAGACACGGCCCAGACUCCUACGGGAGGCAGCAGUGGGGAAUAUUGCGCAAUGGGCGGAAGCCUGACGCAGCGACGCCGCGUGGGGGAUGACGGCCUUCGGGUUGUAAACCUCUUUCAGCAGGGACGAAGCGCAAGUGACGGUACCUGCAGAAGAAGCACCGGCCAACUACGUG